Molecule: ribosomal RNA, 253 nt
Filed under: uncultured bacterium
Lineage: Bacteria
Description: partial 16S ribosomal RNA
Rfam family: Bacterial small subunit ribosomal RNA
Source: RNAcentral
CACGUAGGGCGCAAGCGUUGUCCGGAAUUAUUGGGCGUAAAGAGCUCGUAGGCGGUCUGUUGCGUCCGCUGUGAAAACUCGGGGCUUAACCCCGAGCCUGCAGUGGAUACGGGCAGACUAGAGGUAGGUAGGGGAGAAUGGAAUUCCCGGUGUAGCGGUGAAAUGCGCAGAUAUCGGGAGGAACACCGGUGGCGAAGGCGGGUCUCUGGGCCGGUACCGACGCUGAGGAGCGAAAGCGUGGGGAGCGAACAGG